RNAcentral lists this ribosomal RNA (270 nucleotides) under uncultured bacterium. RNAcentral's name for it is "partial 16S ribosomal RNA". It matches the Rfam family "Bacterial small subunit ribosomal RNA", at positions 334 to 602 of the family's 1533-position model. The record is from RNAcentral.
AAGGCCUACGGGGCGCAGCAGUGAGGAAUAUUGGUCAAUGGUCGGGAGACUGAACCAGCCAAGCCGCGUGAGGGAUGAAGGUACAGAGUAUCGUAAACCUCUUUUGUCAGGGAACAAAGGCGGGGACGUGUCCCCGGAUGAGUGUACCUGAAGAAAAGCAUCGGCUAACUCCGUGCCAGCAGCCGCGGUAAUACGGAGGAUGCGAGCGUUACUCGGAAUCACUGGGCGUAAAGAGUGCGUAGGCGGGGUAAUAAGUCAGAUGUGAAAUUC